AUAACGCAGCGAAAGCUGUGCUAAUACCGCAUAGCCCCUGAGGGGGAAANCGGGGGAUCGAAAGACCUCGCGCGAUUAGAGCGGCCGAUGCCUGAUUAGCUUGUUGUGGGGUAAAAAGCCCACCAAGGCGACGAUCAGUAGCUGGUCCUGAGAGGACGAUCAGCCACACUGGGACUGAGACACGGCCCAGACUCCUACGGGAGGCAGCAGUGGGGAAUUUUGGACAAUGGGGGAAACCCUGAUCCAGCAAUGCCGCGUGAGUGAAGAAGGCCUUCGGGUUGUAAAAGCUCUUUUUGUCAGGGAAGAAACACCGGCCUCUAACACAGUUCCGGGGAAUGACGGUACCUGAAGAAUAAGCACCGGCUAACUACGUG
Molecule: ribosomal RNA, 374 nt
Filed under: uncultured bacterium
Lineage: Bacteria
Description: bacterial SSU rRNA
Rfam family: Bacterial small subunit ribosomal RNA
Source: RNAcentral